AGGAUGAACGCUAGCGGCAGGCUUAAUACAUGCAAGUCGUGGGGCAGCAGGUCUGUAGCAAUACAGAUGCUGGCGACCGGCAAACGGGUGCGGAACACGUACGCAACUUUCCUUCAAGCGGGGAAUAGCCCAGGGAAACUUGGAUUAAUACCCCAUAAUUUUAUGAAGUGGCAUCACUUUAUAAGUAAAGCUCCGGCACUUGAAGAUGGGCGUGCGGCUGAUUAGGUAGUUGGCGGGGUAACGGCCCACCAAGCCUGCGAUCAGUAACUGGUGUGAGAGCACGACCAGUCACACGGGCACGUGAGACACGGGUCCCGACUCCGUACGGGAGCAGCAGUAAGGAUAUUGGGCAAGUGGACGCAAGGUCUCGACCAGCCGAUCGCCGGCGUAGGACGGUAGUAGGAACGGUCCUCGU
This 415-nucleotide ribosomal RNA is filed under the name uncultured soil bacterium. RNAcentral's name for it is "bacterial SSU rRNA". It matches the Rfam family "Bacterial small subunit ribosomal RNA", at positions 26 to 436 of the family's 1533-position model. The record is from RNAcentral.